RNAcentral lists this long non-coding RNA (937 nucleotides) under Taeniopygia guttata (zebra finch). RNAcentral describes it as "lncRNA (ENSTGUG00000019228.1)". Lineage: Eukaryota; Metazoa; Chordata; Aves; Passeriformes; Estrildidae. The record is from RNAcentral.
CAGGCUCUCAUCUUGAGACAGAGGCUUGAUAUUACAUAGAGACUUCUGGAAUGCCUAUUUUUGUCUUUAAAAGUUUGAGUUUUUGCUCUUAAUAGUAUGUGUUGAGAGAUCCUGUUUGUAGGUAAGACAAAAGAUUUUCAUCUCUCUCAAACAGGAGAAUAAAACAAACUGACGUCUACAGGAACGCAGUACAGGCAGAGCUGUCAAAUAAAAGGGCAACAGCAUUACCAGCUCAUGCAGUAGUGGAUGGACAUACCUCUAUACUGCUAAACUGAUGUGCAAGGGCAGGCUUUGACACAGGACCCGGAUUUGGUCUGUCUGCCUGGGUGUUGGCCCACUCCACAGAUCAGUUUUGGUCUGCUUCCACUGGUCAUCUCCAGCUGAAAUUUGCCGUAAAGGAAACUAGCCCUAAGGAGUGUAGGACACUCUUUCUAAGCUACAACUCAUAAUUAUGGCUCCUUCCUUCACCAUGCAGCUGUCCAAGUAACAUGUUUUUAUGAGGCUGAGACCAGUACAUCAGCUGCAGUCUACUUCAUCAUGAAGCAGAAUGUGGUUCACAGGAAAUACUAUCGGACAGAAGAUAAAAUUCAAGAAAAUACGAUAUUUUGGUCAUGCCUACAAUUGAAAUCUAAUGAAAAUGUUCACUUAUUUAGAAUAAAAACUCAUUAAAUAACAUUUUGUAGUUUAACGAAAUAAUUUUUAUUUUUUUAAUAUAGUUAAUACUAUGAAGUCUUCCUAAAAUUGUCUGAAGUUGAAACACCCUUUUAAAAUGGAGAGAAAGUAAUAAAGAAAAUAUAUGCAUCUACUUGCUUGACUGUGUUAGAGGAGUGCCUAGUGACCCUAAAAACACUAAAACUUGUCCAAAAUAUAUUAUUUGUUAUAUUAUUAAAUUGAUGUGCAAUGACCCUGUGAGCCAACACCUGGGGUUUUGGGUGCU